GUGUAUUUUUGCCGUGCUAAGGUAGCANAAUCAUUUGCUUUUNAAUUGAUAGCUGGAAUGAAAGGUUGCUCUUAUUUUAAUUUUUGUCUAGUUNAAAUAAUAAGUNAAAGUNAGGGUAAGAAUUCUUUAAUAUUCNAGGGGACGAUAAGACCCNAGAAGCUUAGGAUACAGCUAUACUUAUAUAAAAAGUUGAGCAUUUAUUUUACUGGGGCGGUAGGAAUAAAUUUGCUAUUUCUAUAUAAAAGAUCUUUAAAAUUAAGANAAUUGGUAUUAGUUACUCUAGGGAUAACAGUGNAAUUUUUUNAGAAAGAUCUUAUUGAUGAANGAGUUUGCAACCUCGAUGUUGAAUUAAGAUAUCUGAGUGAGGCAAAAGGUACUAAAGAAGGUUUGUUCAACCUUNAAAGNCUUACANGAUCUGAUUCAAACCGGAA
This 431-nucleotide ribosomal RNA is filed under the name Gammarus pecos (Pecos amphipod). Its description in RNAcentral is "partial 16S ribosomal RNA". The stretch from base 135 to 431 matches the Rfam family "Bacterial large subunit ribosomal RNA", at positions 2073 to 2621 of the family's 2925-position model. The record is from RNAcentral. Lineage: Eukaryota; Metazoa; Arthropoda; Malacostraca; Amphipoda; Gammaridae.